GACGAACGCUGGCGGCGUGCUUAACACAUGCAAGUCGAACGGUAAGGCCCUUCGGGGUACACGAGUGGCGAACGGGUGAGUAACACGUGGGUGAUCUGCCCUGCACUUCGGGAUAAGACUGGGAAACUGGGUCUAAUACCGGAUAGGACUCCUGGCUUCAUGGUUGGGGGGGGAAAGCUUUUGCGGUGUGGGAUGGGCCCGCGGCCUAUCAGCUUGUUGGUGGGGUAAUGGCCUACCAAGGCGACGACGGGUAGCCGGCCUGAGAGGGUGACCGGUCACACUGGGACUGAGGUACGGCCCAGACUCCUACGGGAGGCAGCAGUGGGGAAUAUUGCACAAUGGGCGCAAGCCUGAUGCAGCGACGCCGCGUGAGGGAUGACGGCCUUCGGGUUGUAAACCUCUUUCAGCUAUGACGAAGCGCAAGUGACGGUAGUAGCAGAAGAAGGACCGGCCAACUACGUGCCAGCCGCCGCAGUAA
This 478-nucleotide ribosomal RNA is filed under the name uncultured bacterium. Its description in RNAcentral is "partial 16S ribosomal RNA". It matches the Rfam family "Bacterial small subunit ribosomal RNA", at positions 28 to 523 of the family's 1533-position model. The record is from RNAcentral.